This 253-nucleotide ribosomal RNA is filed under the name uncultured prokaryote. Its description in RNAcentral is "partial 16S ribosomal RNA". It matches the Rfam family "Bacterial small subunit ribosomal RNA", at positions 524 to 776 of the family's 1533-position model. The record is from RNAcentral.
UACGUAGGGACCGAGCGUUGUUCGGAUUUACUGGGCGUAAAGGGCGCGUAGGCGGCAAUUCAAGUCAGUUGUGAAAUCUCCGAGCUUAACUCGGAACGGUCAACUGAUACUGCUUUGCUAGAGUACAGAAGGGGCAACCGGAAUUCUUGGUGUAGCGGUGAAAUGCGUAGAUAUCAAGAGGAACACCUGAGGUGAAGACGGGUUGCUGGGCUGAUACUGACGCUGAGGCACGAAAGUGUGGGGAUCAAACAGG